CAGCGCCACGAGUGGGGAUCACGAUUAUUGGGCCUAAAGCGUCCGUAGCCGGUUUGAUAAAUCUCUUGUGAAAUCGUUUGGCUCAACCAAACGGCAAGCAGGAGACACUAUCAAACUUGAGACCGGGAAGGGUUAGAGGUAUGCUUGGGGGAGCGGUAAAAUGCUAUAAUCCCUUGCAGACCAAUGGUGGCGAAGGCGUCUAACUAGAACGGAUCUGACGGUGAGGGACGAAAGCCAGGGGAGCAAUCCGGAUUAGAUACCCGAGUAGUCC
This 271-nucleotide ribosomal RNA is filed under the name uncultured archaeon. Its description in RNAcentral is "partial 16S ribosomal RNA". It matches the Rfam family "Archaeal small subunit ribosomal RNA", at positions 477 to 747 of the family's 1478-position model. The record is from RNAcentral.